This 478-nucleotide long non-coding RNA is filed under the name Fukomys damarensis (Damara mole-rat). RNAcentral describes it as "lncRNA (ENSFDAG00000028743.1)". The record is from RNAcentral. Lineage: Eukaryota; Metazoa; Chordata; Mammalia; Rodentia; Bathyergidae.
AUCACAUCUCAGGGGACUGGAUUCCAGGGCGGUGCCCAUGAGCUCUCAGCAGGAAAGGCAGGAUUGAAGAAUUGAUCAUGGGGACAACUGGCUCAUGCAGCAGGAUGCAGAGAAGGCAAAAGGCCCAAGGUGGACCACCCAGCAACAGAACCCAGCUGCCUGGGUCCUUCCUGCCCCAUCUCUCCCAGAAUCUGCAGGGUCUCAGACACCUGGGAAAAGGUGGUGAUUGCAGAGAAGGAUUUAGAGGUUUCUCCCUCAGAAGAAAGGUGGCACUGAAGACACAGGACAGGGUUAAGCGAGGCUGGUGGACAGAUGGCCAUGAAUCUUUGAAGCCAGCCGGCUGCCACACCUGUGGACCCAGUCCAAUCCACACACACUGCUAGGUCUGAGCCGAGAGGGCCCUGCUCACAGCGUGACGUUCUUACUCCACCAGACAGCCACAGUGGACAGUGUGUGCAGGUAGUUUCUUAAAGAAAAG